This 416-nucleotide unclassified non-coding RNA is filed under the name soil metagenome. Its description in RNAcentral is "partial contains 5.8S ribosomal RNA, internal transcribed spacer 2, and large subunit ribosomal RNA". The stretch from base 1 to 120 matches the Rfam family "5.8S ribosomal RNA", at positions 35 to 154 of the family's 154-position model. The record is from RNAcentral.
GAUGAAGAACGUAGCGAAAUGCGAUAAGUAACGUGAAUUGCAGAAUUCAGUGAAUCAUCGAAUCUUUGAACGCACCUUGCACUCCUUGGUAUUCCGAGGAGUACGCCUGUUCGAGUGUUAUGAAGCUCUCAAAACGCAAUUGGCUUAAAACCUGAUUGUUGUUUUGGAUUUGAACUUUGCCGUGUUACAACGGCUGGUUUUAAAAGCAUUAGCUGGUACUAGAACGAAUUGGUUCUACUCAACGUGAUAAUUAUCUGAUCGUUGAGGACAUUCCUUUCACGAGGAAUGGCCAUAGUAAAUUCAAUGGACUGCUUCUAACUUGGCUUUAAUUCUUAAUUGGAUUAACCACUUUUCAAAUCUGACCUCGAAUCAGGUGGGACUACCCGCUGAACUUAAGCAUAUCAAUAAGCGGAGGA